RNAcentral lists this ribosomal RNA (431 nucleotides) under uncultured bacterium. RNAcentral's name for it is "partial 16S ribosomal RNA". It matches the Rfam family "Bacterial small subunit ribosomal RNA", at positions 29 to 507 of the family's 1533-position model. The record is from RNAcentral.
AACGAACGCUGGCGGCAGGCUUAACACAUGCAAGUCGAGCGCCCCGCGAGGGGUUCGGCCUACGGUUGAGGACGGCGGGGGGAGUUACGCCUUGGUUCGUAACAACUCCGGGGGACUGAAGCUAAUACCGGAGAAGUACUAACGCGGAAGUCUUUAUCGCCGAAAGAUCGGGUCGUGGCAGAUUAGCUAGUUGGUGAGGUAACGGCUCACCAAGGCGAUGAUCAGUAGCUGGUCUGAGAGGAUGCACAGCCACCCUGGGCCUGAGGCACGGGCCAGAACCAUACGGGAGGGAGCAGAGGGGAAUAUUAGACAAGGGGCGCAAGUCUGAUACAGCCAUGCCGUGUAAGUGAUGAAGGGCUUAGGGUUGUAAAGGUAUUUUGUCCGGGAAGAUAAUGACUGUACCGGAAGAAUAAGCCCCGGCUAACUUCGUG